This 253-nucleotide ribosomal RNA is filed under the name uncultured bacterium. RNAcentral describes it as "partial 16S ribosomal RNA". It matches the Rfam family "Bacterial small subunit ribosomal RNA", at positions 524 to 776 of the family's 1533-position model. The record is from RNAcentral.
AACGUAGGAGACGAACGUUAUCCGGAGUUACUGGGCGUAAAGGGCGUGUAGGCGGUUUGUUAAGUCUGGCGUGAAAGCUCUCGGCUAAACCGGGAGAGGUCGUUGGAUACUGGCGAACUAGAGGAUGGUAGAGGCGUGUGGAAUUCCGGGUGUAGUGGUGAAAUGCGCAGAUAUCAGGAGGAACACCAAUUGCGAAGGCAGCUCGCUGGGACGUUACUGACGCUGAGACGCGAAAGCGUGGGGAGCAAACAGG